GAUGAAGAACGUAGCGAAAUGCGAUACGUAAUGUGAAUUGCAAAUUCAGUGAAUCAUCGAGUCUUUGAACGCACAUUGCGCCCCCUGGUAUUCCGGGGGGCAUGCCUGUCCGAGCGUCAUUGCUGCCCUCAAGCACGGCUUGUGUGUUGGGCCCCGUCCUCCGAUUCCGGGGGACGGGCCCGAAAGGCAGCGGCGGCACCGCGUCUGGUCCUCGAGCGUAUGGGGCUUUGUCACCCGCUCUGUAGGCCCGGCCGGCGCUUGCCGAUCAACCCAAAUUUUUAUCCAGGUUGACCUCGGAUCAGGUAGGGAUACCCGCUGAACUUAAGCAUAUCAAUAAGCGGAGGA
RNAcentral lists this unclassified non-coding RNA (345 nucleotides) under soil metagenome. RNAcentral describes it as "partial contains 5.8S ribosomal RNA, internal transcribed spacer 2, and large subunit ribosomal RNA". The stretch from base 1 to 119 matches the Rfam family "5.8S ribosomal RNA", at positions 35 to 154 of the family's 154-position model. The record is from RNAcentral.